This 470-nucleotide ribosomal RNA is filed under the name uncultured bacterium. Its description in RNAcentral is "partial 16S ribosomal RNA". It matches the Rfam family "Bacterial small subunit ribosomal RNA", at positions 28 to 507 of the family's 1533-position model. The record is from RNAcentral.
GACGAACGCUGGCGGCGUGCUUAACACAUGCAAGUCGAACGCUGAAGCACCAGCUUGCUGGUGUGGAUGAGUGGCGAACGGGUGAGUAAUACGUGAGUAACCUGCCCUUGACUCUGGGAUAAGCCCGGGAAACUGGGUCUAAUACUGGAUGCUACAUGUCACCGCAUGGUGGUGUGUGGAAAGGGUUUACUGGUCUUGGAUGGGCUCACGGCCUAUCAGCUUGUUGGUGAGGUGAUGGCUCACCAAGGCGACGACGGGUAGCCGGCCUGAGAGGGUGACCGGCCACACUGGGACUGAGACACGGCCCAGACUCCUACGGGAGGCAGCAGUGGGGAAUAUUGCACAAUGGGCGAAAGCCUGAUGCAGCGACGCCGCGUGAGGGAUGACGGCCUUCGGGUUGUAAACCUCUUUCAGCAGGGAAGAAGCCACAAGUGACGGUACCUGCAGAAGAAGCGCCGGCUAACUACGUG